GGUGAGGUGCCAGAGUGGCCGAAUGGGACUCACUGCUAAUGAGUUGUGCGGGGUUAAACUGCACCGAGGGUUCGAAUCCCUCCCUCACCG
RNAcentral lists this transfer RNA (90 nucleotides) under Candidatus Peribacteria bacterium. RNAcentral's name for it is "tRNA-Ser". It matches the Rfam family "tRNA". From Rfam's summary of the family: Transfer RNA (tRNA) molecules are approximately 80 nucleotides in length. The record is from RNAcentral. Lineage: Bacteria; Candidatus Peregrinibacteriota; Candidatus Peribacteria.